Peromyscus maniculatus bairdii (prairie deer mouse) is the source of this 733-nucleotide non-coding RNA. The record is from RefSeq and is a predicted model, not a curated record. NCBI's taxonomy places the organism in Eukaryota, Metazoa, Chordata, Mammalia, Rodentia, Cricetidae.
CUUGUUUCUCUUUCAGACCAAAGCAAACCUUGUGACCCCGAGAAAUGGGGAGCCACUCAUUGCUGCCAUUCAGGACUUCCUAACAGGCCCUGAUCCUGAAGGUGCUGUCAGUGAUCCAGGACCACCCCCAGUGCAUGCCUCUGAGAGCUGGACAAGAGCAACAACUGCCUCACCAUGGCCCUGUGUGGCUCCAAAGUGCUGAGGAUCAAACCCGGGACCUCAUGCAUCUCAGGCAAGUGCUCUACCACUGAGCUAUAGCCCUAGCUUAGAUGUGGCAAACUUCUUUAACUUCCUGUUUCCUCAGACCCUCUAGCAUUAGGAUUCUUAAUACCAUGCUCAAACUCAGAACCUCGGGGCCUCUGUUGCUGUCAUUUUGUUCAUUAUGAAAUAAAAUCCCCGCUCUCUAAGUUGGCUGCCUUUUCCCAUUGUUCUACGUCCUGCUCCUGUGCACACCUGGGGUCUCCCCUGCUCUACCUUUGCUUCUCCCUCACUCUUCCACACACAUUCAGAUUCCUUCUCCCAUCCUCCUCUCUCUGCAGACCCCAUGUCCAGAGUCCAAUCUGACGGUCAUCAGAAAGACUCCAGUGGCCUUCCCUCCACCCCACACCUGCACAUGCCCCGGAGCCCUUUCCUUGGUUCCAACUGUCACUGUAGUUCUGCCCUUCAGUCCCUUGGACUCCUAGGCUAUGAGAGCAAGGGUUGUGCUGUGUCACAUUCUAUUUUAUCCCUCUGG